Molecule: ribosomal RNA, 503 nt
Filed under: uncultured bacterium
Lineage: Bacteria
Description: bacterial SSU rRNA
Rfam family: Bacterial small subunit ribosomal RNA
Source: RNAcentral
GAUGAACGCUAGCGACAGGCUUAACACAUGCAAGUCGAGGGGCAGCGGGGAGCAGCAAUGCUCUGCCGGCGACCGGCGGACGGGUGAGUAACGCGUAUGCAACCAACCUACCAGCGGGGGAUAAUCCACCGAAAGGUGGUCUAAGACCGCAUAAGACAGGGGCACCGCAUGGUGCUAUUUGUUAAAGGGAACACUGGUAGACGGGCAUGCGUUCCAUUAGGCAGUUGGAGGGUAACGGCCCACCAAACCGACGAUGGAUAGGGGUUCUGAGAGGAAGGUCCCCCCACAUUGGUACUGAGACACGGACCAAACUCCUACGGGAGGCAGCAGUGAGGAAUAUUGGUCAAUGGGCGGAAGCCUGAACCAGCCAAGUCGCGUGAAGGAAGAAGGAUCUAUGGUUUGUAAACUUCUUUUUGAAGGGGGAUAAAGUGCGUCACGAGUGGUGCAUUGCAGGUACCCUUGGAAUAAGCAUCGGCUAACUCCGUGCCAGCAGCCGCGGUAAU